GAACCACGUUAAUUCAAAUUGGCCCGUACCCUAAACCGACACAGGUGGGAAGGUAGAGUAUACCCAGGGGCGCGAGAUAACUCUCUCUAAGGAACUCGGCAAAAUGGCCCCGUAACUUCGGGAGAAGGGGUGCCACCGAGAGGUGGUCGCAGUGAAGAGUCCCAGGCGACUGUUUACCAAAAGCACAGGUCUCCGCUAAGUCGCAAGACGAUGUAUGGGGGCUGACGCCUGCCCAGUGCCGGAAGGUUAAGGAAGUUGGUCAGGUUCUUCGGAAUUAAAGCUAGCGACUGAAGCCCCGGUGAACGGCGGCCGUAACUAUAACGGUCCUAAGGUAGCGAAAUUCCUUGUCGGGUAAGUUCCGACCCGCACGAAAGGCGUAACGAUCUGGGAGCUGUCUCGGAGAGAGGCUCGGCGAAAUAGGAAUGUCUGUGAAGAUACGGACUACCUGCACCCGGACAGAAGGACCCUAUGAAGCUUUACUGUAGCUUGGUAUUGGGUUCGGGCUUUGAUUGCGCAGGAUAGGUGGGAGACUAUGAGAUAGCUCUUGUGGGAGUUAUGGAGUCACUGGUGAGAUACCACUCUAUCAAGGCUAGAAUUCUAACUUUGACCCGUUAUCCGGGCAGAGAACAGUAUCAGGUGGGCAGUUUGACUGGGGCGGUCGCCUCCUAAAUGGUAACGGAGGCGCGCAAAGGUUCCCUCAGGCUGGUUGGAAAUCAGCCAUAGAGUGUAAAGGCAUAAGGGAGCUUGACUGCGAGACUGACAAGUCGAGCAGGUACGAAAGUAGGCCUUAGUGAUCCGACGGUUCCGCGUGGAAGGGCCGUCGCUCAACGGAUAAAAGUUACUCUAGGAUAACAGGCUGAUCUCCCCCAAGAGUUCACAUCGACGGGGAGGUUUGGCACCUCGAUGUCGGCUCAUCGCAACCUGGGGCUGUAGUCGGUCCCAAGGGUUGGGCUGUUCGCCCAUUAAAGCGGUACGUGAGCUGGGUUCAGAACGUCGUGAGACAGUUCGGUCCAUAUCCGGUGCAGGCGUAGGAACAUUGAGAGGAGUCUUCCUUAGUACGAGAGGACCGGGAAGAACGCACCGCUGGUGUACCUGUUAUCGUGCCAACGGUAAACGCAGGGUAGCCAAGUGCGGAGAGGAUAACCGCUGAAAGCAUCUAAGUGGGAAGCCCACCUCAAGAUGAGUGUUCCCAUGGCAAAAGCCAGUAAGGUCACGGGUAGACCACCCGUUAAUAGGCGCUAGAUGGAAGUCCAGCAAUGGAUGUAGUCGAGGCGUACUAACAGACCGAGGGCUUGAC
RNAcentral lists this ribosomal RNA (1297 nucleotides) under metagenome. Its description in RNAcentral is "bacterial LSU rRNA". It matches the Rfam family "Bacterial large subunit ribosomal RNA", at positions 1619 to 2925 of the family's 2925-position model. The record is from RNAcentral.